This 253-nucleotide ribosomal RNA is filed under the name uncultured bacterium. RNAcentral describes it as "partial 16S ribosomal RNA". It matches the Rfam family "Bacterial small subunit ribosomal RNA", at positions 524 to 776 of the family's 1533-position model. The record is from RNAcentral.
UACGGGGGGGGCAAGCGUUGUUCGGAAUUACUGGGCGUAAAGGGUUCGUAGGUGGCUUGCUAAGUCAGACGUGAAAUCCCUCAGCUUAACUGGGGAACUGCGUCUGAGACUGGUGAGCUUGAGUGCAGGAGAGGAACGCGGAAUUCCAGGUGUAGCGGUGAAAUGCGUAGAUAUCUGGAGGAACACCGGUGGCGAAGGCGGCGUUCUGGUCCGAUACUGACGCUGAGGUGCGAAAGCGUGGGGAGCGAUCCGG